CAUAGCGACUAUCGUGGCAUAUCAAUAAGCGGAGGAAAAGAAACUAACAAGGAUUCCCUUAGUAACGGCGAGUGAAGCGGGAAGAGCUCAAAUUUGAAAUCUUCAAGGUUCUACCUUGACGAAUUGUAGUUUAUAGAAGUGUUUUCUGUUAGUAGAGUGGCAAAAGUUCUUUGGAAUAGGACAUCUUAGAGGGUGAGAAUCCCGUAUUUGACCAUUAUUUUCAGCUGUGUGAUACACUUUCAAAGAGUCGGAUUGUUUGGGAAUGCAGUCCAAAAUGGGUGGUAAAUUUCAUCUAAAGCUAAAUAUUGGCGAGAGACCGAUAGCGAACAAGUACCGUGAGGGAAAGAUGAAAAGAACUUUGAAAAGAGAGUUAAACAGUACGUGAAAUUGUCAAAAGGGAAGCGUUUGACACCAGUGUUGUUUUCCCGAAAAUCAAUUAAAAAAGGCCGGAUUUUGUAUUGUAUUGACCUUAAAAGCUUUCUUCACUCUUUUCAUGUUUAUUUUUAAUGCACUUUUCGUUUAACAAGUCAACAUCAGUUUCUUUUGUUGUAAAAGGGUCAUUGGAAGGUGGCUUUCUUUUCGGAGAAAGUGUUUAUAGCCUUUGAUCUCUGCAACCGGAGAGACUGAGGUCUGCAGCGUAGACUCUUCGGGGUUAGAUACAUUUGUGCUAAGCUAUAGCUUUUUAUAGACAACUUGUUGACUAUAUUUAGUCUUGUGGCUUACUCGCUUAUGCUAUUUUACCUACGCUUAGGAUGUUGAUAGUCACAGCGUGUAC
RNAcentral lists this ribosomal RNA (775 nucleotides) under uncultured Neocallimastigales. Its description in RNAcentral is "partial large subunit ribosomal RNA". It matches the Rfam family "Eukaryotic large subunit ribosomal RNA", at positions 22 to 610 of the family's 3401-position model. Lineage: Eukaryota; Fungi; Neocallimastigomycota; Neocallimastigomycetes; Neocallimastigales. The record is from RNAcentral.